GGUUGUAACUCAGUGGUAGAGUUCUAGCCUAGCAUGUGUGAGGCACUGGGUUCGAUUCUCAGCACCA
Molecule: transfer RNA, 67 nt
Filed under: Marmota monax (woodchuck)
Lineage: Eukaryota; Metazoa; Chordata; Mammalia; Rodentia; Sciuridae
Description: tRNA.Ala
Source: RNAcentral